UACACUUUAAAUCCUUUAACGAGGAUCUAUUGGAGGGCAAGUCUGGUGCCAGCAGCCGCGGUAAUUCCAGCUCCAAUAGCGUAUAUUAUUAUUGUUGCGGUUAAAAAGCUCGUAGUUGGAUCUCGGUUUCGGGCGAGCGGUGUACCUUGCGGUAUUUACUGUUUGCCCGGACGAUUUUGUUGGUUCGUUUAUGGUUCUCUUAACCGAGUGCCAUAAGUGGCCAGCACGUUUACUUUGAAAAAAUUGGAGUGCUCAAAGCAGGCGCUACAGCCUGAACAUUAGUGCAUGGAAUAAUGGAAUAGGAUCUCGGUUCUAUUUCGUUGGCUUUCGGAGUCGAGGUAAUGAUUAAUAGGGACAGACGGGGGCAUUCGUACUGCGAGGUUAGAGGUGAAAUUCUUGGAUCGUCGCAAGACGAACUACUGCGAAAGCAUUUGCCAAGAAUGUUUUCAUUAAUCAAGAACGAGAGUUAGAGGUUCGAAGGCGAUCAGAUACCGCCCUAGUUCUAACCAUAAACGAUGUCGACCGGCGAUCCGUUAUCGUUAACUGAAUGACUUAACGGGCAGCCUCCGGGAAACCAGAGUGUUUGGAUUCCGGGGGAAGUAUGGUUGCAAAGCUGAAACUUAAAGGAAUUGGCGGAAGGGCACCACCAGGAGUGGAGCCUGCGGCUUAAUUUGACCCAACACGGGAAAUCUCACCAGGCCCGGACACCGGAAGGAUUGACAGAUUGAGAGCUCUUUCUUGAUUCGGUGGGUGGUGGUGCAUGGCCGUUCUUAGUUGGUGGAGCGAUUUGUCUGGUUAAUUCCGAUAACGAACGAGACUCUGGCCUACUAACUAGACGUUAGAUCCCUUUGUGGGUCUAUCGCAGCUUCUUAGAGGGACGGGCGGCGUUUAGCCGCACGAGAUCGAGCAAUAGCAGGUCUGUGAUGCCCUUAGAUGUUCUGGGCUGCACGCGCGCUACACUGAAGGAAUCAGCGUGUGUUCCCUACCCGAAAGGGUUGGGAAACCCGUUGAACCUCCUUCGUGAUGGGGAUUGGGGAUUGCAAUUAUUCCCCAUGAACGAGGAAUUCCCAGUAGGCGCGAGUCAUAAGCUUGCGUCGAUUACGUCCCUGCCCUUUGUACACACCGCCCGUCGCUACUACCGAUCGAGUGAUUUAGUGAGGCCUUCGGACUGGUCUUCAGUAUGGCUUUCGGGUCGUGUUGGAGUACCGGAAAGAUGACCAAACUUGAUCACUUAGAGGAAGUAAAAGUCGUAACAAGGUUUCCGUAGGUGAACCUGCGGAAG
RNAcentral lists this ribosomal RNA (1282 nucleotides) under metagenome. RNAcentral describes it as "SSU rRNA". It matches the Rfam family "Eukaryotic small subunit ribosomal RNA", at positions 519 to 1823 of the family's 1831-position model. The record is from RNAcentral.